This 427-nucleotide ribosomal RNA is filed under the name uncultured Burkholderiales bacterium. Its description in RNAcentral is "bacterial SSU rRNA". It matches the Rfam family "Bacterial small subunit ribosomal RNA", at positions 355 to 774 of the family's 1533-position model. The record is from RNAcentral. Lineage: Bacteria; Pseudomonadati; Pseudomonadota; Betaproteobacteria; Burkholderiales.
UGGGGAAUUUUGGACAAUGGGCGAAAGCCUGAUCCAGCAAUGCCGCGUGCAGGAAGAAGGCCUUCGGGUUGUAAACUGCUUUUGUACGGAACGAAACGGUCUGGGUUAAUACCUCGGGCUAAUGACGGUACCGUAAGAAUAAGCACCGGCUAACUACGUGCCAGCAGCCGCGGUAAUACGUAGGGUGCAAGCGUUAAUCGGAAUUACUGGGCGUAAAGCGUGCGCAGGCGGUUUUGUAAGACAGGCGUGAAAUCCCCGGGCUCAACCUGGGAAUUGCGUUUGUGACUGCAAAGCUGGAGUGCGGCAGAGGGGGAUGGAAUUCCGCGUGUAGCAGUGAAAUGCGUAGAUAUGCGGAGGAACACCGAUGGCGAAGGCAAUCCCCUGGGCCUGCACUGACGCUCAUGCACGAAAGCGUGGGGAGCAAACA